Molecule: ribosomal RNA, 465 nt
Filed under: Vreelandella stevensii
Lineage: Bacteria; Pseudomonadati; Pseudomonadota; Gammaproteobacteria; Oceanospirillales; Halomonadaceae
Description: partial 16S ribosomal RNA
Rfam family: Bacterial small subunit ribosomal RNA
Source: RNAcentral
CCUACGGGGGGCUGCAGUGGGGAAUAUUGGACAAUGGGGGGAACCCUGAUCCAGCCAUGCCGCGUGUGUGAAGAAGGCUCUCGGGUUGUAAAGCACUUUCAGUGAGGAAGAACGCCUGGUGGUUAAUACCCAUCAGGAAAGACAUCACUCACAGAAGAAGCACCGGCUAACUCCGUGCCAGCAGCCGCGGUAAUACGGAGGGUGCGAGCGUUAAUCGGAAUUACUGGGCGUAAAGCGCGCGUAGGUGACUUGAUAAGCCGGUUGUGAAAGCCCCGGGCUCAACCUGGGAACGGCAUCCGGAACUGUCAAGCUAGAGUGCAGGAGAGGAAGGUAGAAUUCCCGGUGUAGCGGUGAAAUGCGUAGAGAUCGGGAGGAAUACCAGUGGCGAAGGCGGCCUUCUGGACUGACACUGACACUGAGGUGCGAAAGCGUGGGUAGCAAACAGGAUUAGAUACCCGAGUAGUC